GACGAACGCUGGCGGCGUGCUUAACACAUGCAAGUCGAACGGUAAGGCCCUUCGGGGUACACGAGUGGCGAACGGGUGAGUAACACGUGGGUGAUCUGCCCUGCACUUCGGGAUAAGCCUGGGAAACUGGGUCUAAUACCGGAUAGGACUCCUGGCUUCAUGGUUGGGGGUGGAAAGCUUUUGCGGUGUGGGAUGGGCCCGCGGCCUAUCAGUUUGUUGGUGGGGUAAUGGCCUACCAAGGCGACGACGGGUAGCCGGCCUGUGAGGGUGACCGGUCACACUGGGACUGAGAUACGGCCCAGACUCCUACGGGAGGCAGCAGAGGGGAAUAUUGCACAAUGGGCGCAAGCCUGGUGCAGCGACGCCGCGUGAGGGAUGACGGCCUUCGGGUUGUAAACCUCUUUCAGCUAUGACGAAGCGCAAGUGACGGUAGUAGCAGAAGAAGGACCGGCCAACUACGUGCCAGCCGCCGCCGUAA
Molecule: ribosomal RNA, 478 nt
Filed under: uncultured bacterium
Lineage: Bacteria
Description: partial 16S ribosomal RNA
Rfam family: Bacterial small subunit ribosomal RNA
Source: RNAcentral